Hippopotamus amphibius kiboko is the source of this 111-nucleotide small nuclear RNA. The record is from RefSeq and is a predicted model, not a curated record. NCBI's taxonomy places the organism in Eukaryota, Metazoa, Chordata, Mammalia, Artiodactyla, Hippopotamidae.
GUGCUUGCUUUGGCAGCACAUAUACUAACAUUGGAACUAUACAGACAGAAAAGAUUAGCAUGGCCCCCGUACAAGGAUGACAAGCAAAUUUGUGACUCAUUCCCUAUUUUU